Molecule: ribosomal RNA, 301 nt
Filed under: uncultured bacterium
Lineage: Bacteria
Description: partial 16S ribosomal RNA
Rfam family: Bacterial small subunit ribosomal RNA
Source: RNAcentral
CAGCCGCCGCGGGAAUACGUAGGGUGCAAGCGUUAAUCGGAAUUACUGGGCGUAAAGCGUGCGCAGGCGGUUAUAUAAGACAGAUGUGAAAUCCCCGGGCUCAACCUGGGAACUGCAUUUGUGACUGUAUAGCUAGAGUACGGCAGAGGGGGAUGGAAUUCCGCGUGUAGCAGUGAAAUGCGUAGAUAUGCGGAGGAACACCGAUGGCGAAGGCAAUCCCCUGGGCCUGUACUGACGCUCAUGCACGAAAGCGUGGGGAGCAAACAGGAUUAGAGACCCGUGUAGUCCCUGUCUCUUAUAU